CAACAACUCCAACAUUGAAAACAUCAUAGAAGAUGCAUAUGAACUCAUUGAUGAACUCGAGCUUGUCAUGAAGAUGAUUGUAAGCUCUAAGACCCUCACAGAGAAAAGUCAAACAAGGACCAAGAAAGAUGAUGAUGCCAAGAAUGCAAUGGUUUGAGCUCUCAAUGAAUGAUACGAUCAAGCUACUCACUCUUGAGAGAGAGCCCCCUCUCCUUGAUAGAAUGGCAGUCGAUCCUAUAAUUCGGUCUCCCAACUAACACCAUGAGACCGGUAAAAUGGAAAACAUAUGAAGGGCAAACAUUUGCCUUGUGCAUAGUCCACUUGAGCUAGGUGAUGACAAUAUUGUCCUCCUCAAGAUGGACCAUCUUUCUUGAUUGCGUCGGCUCGAUGAAUACUAGUAGAUUCCCC
RNAcentral lists this long non-coding RNA (408 nucleotides) under Hordeum vulgare. RNAcentral describes it as "long non-coding RNA (HVUL_LNC019630)". The record is from RNAcentral. Lineage: Eukaryota; Viridiplantae; Streptophyta; Magnoliopsida; Poales; Poaceae.